CUUUGAAGUUACAAAGGGCGUAUGGUGAAUGCCUUGGGAAUAGGAGACGAUGAAGGACGUGACUACCUGCGAUAAGGUUCGGGGAGCUGGAAGUAAGCUUUGAUCCGGACAUGUCCGAAUGGGGAAACCCGGUGAGAUUAAUCUCUCAUCAUCCUAUAAUGAAUAAAUAGUUAUAGUGAAGGUAUACCUAGGGAAUUGAAACAUCUCAGUACCUAGAGGAAAAGAAAGCGAAUGCGAUUCUCUUAGUAGCGGCGAGCGAACGGGGAACAGCCCAAACCAGAUUUAUCUGGGGUUGUAGGACCAUAUGAGUAGAGUUACAAAACUUGUUUAUAGUAGAAAUGGUUGGGAAACCAUGCCACAGAGGGUGAUAGCCCCGUAUACGAAAUGAACAAGACUCGAAAUGGAAUCCCCUGAGUACCGGCGAGACACGUGAAAUCUUGUCGGAAUCAACGCGGACCACCCGCGUAAGGCUAAAUACUACCUAUUCACCGAUAGUGAACCAGUACCGUGAGGGAAAGGUGAAAAGCACCCCGGGAGGGGAGUGAAAUAGUACCUGAAACCAUAUGCCUACAAGAAGUCGGAGCCCGUUAAUGGGUGACGGCGUGCCUUUUGUAGAAUGAGCCGGCGAGUUAUGAUAGCAUGCAAGGUUAAGUAGAAGAUACGGAGCCGUAGUGAAAGCGAGCCUUAAUAGGGCGUUUAGUAUGUUGUCAUAGACCCGAAACCAGGUGAUCUAGCCAUGAGCAGGUUGAAGUUGAGGUAAAACUUAAUGGAGGACCGAACCGACGUUCGUUGAAAAGACCGCGGAUGACUUGUGGCUAGGGGUGAAAUUCCAAUCGAACCUGGAGAUAGCUGGUUCUCCCCGAUAUAGCUUUAGGGCUAGCGUCGAGGUUAGCAAGUUGGAGGUAGAGCACUAAAUGUAUGAUGGCCCCACCUAGGGGUACUGAAUGCAAUUAAACUCCGAAUGCCAAUUUUGUAUACUCGGCAGUCAGUACAUGGGUGAUAAGGUCCGUGUACGUGAGGGAAACAGCCCAGAUCAUCAGCUAAGGUCCCAAAAUUUAUGCUAAGUGUGUAAGGAUGUGAAGUCGCUUAGACAGCUAGGAGGUUGGCUUAGAAGCAGCCACCCUUUAAAGAGUGCGUAACAGCUCACUAGUCGAGUAACUUUGCGCCGAAAAUGUACCGGGGCUAAGCAUAAUACCGAAGCUAUGGGUUUUGUAUAUUUAUAUACAGGGCGGUAGGGGAGCGUUCUAACAGGGAUGAAGGUAGACCGUGAGGACUGCUGGACUGGUUAGAAGUGAGAAUGCCGGCAUGAGUAACGUUUGAGGGUGAGAAUCCCUCAUGCCGUUUGACCAAGGUUUCCUGGGCAAGGUUCGUCCACCCAGGGUUAGUCAGGACCUAAGGCGAGGCCGAAAGGCGUAGUCGAUGGACAACAGGUUGAUAUUCCUGUACCACCAUAUAGAGCGAUGGAGUGACGGAGAAGGAUAGUAUAUCCCGGUUAUUGGAUUCCGGGCUAAGCACAAAGAGGGUAAGGUUGGCAAAUCCGCCUUGCAUAACCUUGAAGUGUGAUGGGGAGCGAACGGUUCGCCUAGUAGCGAAGUAUAUGACUCCAUGCUUCCAAGAAAAGCUUCUAGCACUAUUUAUAUGGUGCCUGUACCUAGAACGAACACACGUGGUCAAGGAGAGAAUCCUAAGGCAAGCGAGAUAACUGUAGCUAAGGAACUCUGCAAAAUAACCCCGUAAGUUAGCGAGAAGGGGUGCUCAUAGCAAUAUGAGCCGCAGUGAAGAGGAAGGGGCAACUGUUUAGCAAAAACACAGCUCUCUGCAAAGUCGUAAGACGACGUAUAGGGGGUGACGCCUGCCCAGUGCUGGAAGGUUAAGGGGAUUAGUUAGCAUUAGCGAAGCUUUGAACCGAAGCCCCAGUGAACGGCGGCCGUAACUAUAACGGUCCUAAGGUAGCGAAAUUCCUUGUCAGGUAAGUUCUGACCCGCACGAAAGGCGUAAUGAUCCCUUCGCUGUCUCGGCUGCAGACUCGGUGAAAUUUUAGUACCUGUGAAGAUGCAGGUUACCCGCAACUAGACGGAAAGACCCCAUGGAGCUUUACUAUAGCUUGAUAUUGGGUUUUGAUAUAGCAUGUAUAGGAUAGGUGGGAGACUUUGAAGCAGCGACGCUAGUUGUUGUGGAGUCAUCCUUGGAAUACCACCCUUGCUAUGUCGAAAUCCUAACCUAGAUCUGUAAGCCAGAUCAGAGACAGUGUCAGGUGGGUAGUUUGACUGGGGCGGUCGCCUCCUAAAAUGUAACGGAGGCGCCCAAAGGUACCCUCAGUAUGGUCGGAAAUCAUACAUAGAGCGCAAAGGUAGAAGGGUGCUUGACUGUGAGACUUACAAGUCGAACAGGAGCGAAAGCUGGGCUUAGUGAUCCGGCGGUCCCGUGUGGAAGGGCCGUCGCUCAACGGAUAAAAGUUACCCUGGGGAUAACAGGCUGAUCUCCCCCAAGAGUUCACAUCGACGGGGAGGUUUGGCACCUCGAUGUCGGCUCAUCGCAUCCUGGAGCUGAAGUUGGUUCCAAGGGUUGGGCUGUUCGCCCAUUAAAGCGGUACGCGAGCUGGGUUCAGAACGUCGUGAGACAGUUUGGUCCCUAUCUGUUGUGGGCGUAGGAAAUUUGAAGAGAUCUGUCCCUAGUACGAGAGGACCGGGAUGGACACACCUCUGGUGCUCCAGUUGUCACGCCAGUGGCACAGCUGGGUAGCUAUGUGUGGAAAUGAUAAUCGCUGAAGGCAUCUAAGCGAGAAGCAUACUUUAAGAUGAGAUUUCCCAUCCUUUAUGGAGUAAGACCCCUUGAAGACGACAAGGUUGAUAGGUUGGGUGUGUAAGCACGGUGACGUGUUCAGCUAACCAAUACUAAUAGGUCGAGGACUUCAAACAA
RNAcentral lists this ribosomal RNA (2919 nucleotides) under Spiroplasma penaei. RNAcentral describes it as "bacterial LSU rRNA". It matches the Rfam family "Bacterial large subunit ribosomal RNA". The record is from RNAcentral. Lineage: Bacteria; Bacillati; Mycoplasmatota; Mollicutes; Entomoplasmatales; Spiroplasmataceae.